GAUGAACGCUGGCGGCGUGCCUAAUACAUGCAAGUCGAGCGAACAGAUGAGGAGCUUGCUCCUCUGACGUUAGCGGCGGAAGGGUGAGUAACACGUGGAUAACCUACCUAUAAGACUGGGAUAACUUCGGGAAACCGGAGCUAAUACCGGAUAAUAUAUUGAACCGCAUGGUUCAAUAGUGAAAGACGGUUUUGCUGUCACUUAUAGAUGGAUCCGCGCCGCAUUAGCUAGUUGGUAAGGUAACGGCUUACCAAGGCAACGAUGCGUAGCCGACCUGAGAGGGUGAUCGGCCACACUGGAACUGAGACACGGUCCAGACUCCUACGGGAGGCAGCAGUAGGGAAUCUUCCGCAAUGGGCGAAAGCUUGACGGAGCAACGCCGCGUGAGUGAUGAAGGUCUUCGGGUCGUAAAACGCUGUUAUUAGGGAAGAAAAAAUGUGUAAGUAACUAUGCACGUCUUGACGGUACCUAAUCAGAAAGCCACGGCUAACUACGUG
RNAcentral lists this ribosomal RNA (497 nucleotides) under uncultured bacterium. RNAcentral describes it as "partial 16S ribosomal RNA". It matches the Rfam family "Bacterial small subunit ribosomal RNA", at positions 28 to 507 of the family's 1533-position model. The record is from RNAcentral.